GGGGGCGCAUAGGUUUCGACGUUUUUUUGGAUACCUAGUGGCAUGUCAAGAAUGAGGUUUUCUUGUAAAAAUACUUCAAAACUUUAGUUGCAAAAAACGACAACUACGCUUUAGCUGCUUAAAUAGCUAAACCCAUUGCAAUGAUUGACUAUGGUCAGAAGCAAUGGUCAUUUACAUGGUCUAGUUAAAAACUUUUGUCUAUGAAGUUUUUGAUGAAGUUUUAAUAGGCACAUCUUCAAUGUCCUGCUCUUCGGGUUAUUGAUGAAUUGUUUAAUAGAAUGAGCUAAGCAUGUAGAAGCAAAGUUGAAGGAUUAACGGACGCGGGUUCAAUUCCCGCCGCCUCCACCA
Molecule: transfer-messenger RNA, 348 nt
Filed under: Pseudomonadota bacterium
Lineage: Bacteria; Pseudomonadati; Pseudomonadota
Rfam family: transfer-messenger RNA
About the family: Bacterial tmRNA, also known as 10Sa RNA or SsrA, is named for its dual tRNA and mRNA-like properties. Its role is to liberate the mRNA from a stalled ribosome. To accomplish this part of the tmRNA is used as a reading frame that ends in a translation stop signal.
Source: RNAcentral